AAGCAAUAAGUAUUCAAAUCAAAAUUGGCCAAACUAUUUAAAUGUUGGUGAAUUCACAACUGUUGCACAUAUUUAUUGUGUCAUGUGAAAUCAAAUCAUGGCUCUCAAAUCAUGUCAUGUGGACUUUACAAGCAUCGUUUUUAUUUUUAACUUCUUAAAACCCCAUUUUGACUGACUGAUUUGAAUGACUCUUAUCAGUAAGUUGUACUUCGUGUAAAGUUGUGAGGCAUGUAAAGGAUUGUUGUUUUGUGUGAAGUACUGUGAGGCAUGUUGUAAUUAUUAUGGAACUAUAGAUAAUUUAAACACACACACACACACACACAAAUUUUGUUACUGUGAAAAAAAUAAAUAUUGUGGCAAGUUACUGUGGGGAAAAAGGCAAUUGGCUGAGGGACUGUAAAGAUGAAAAAAGAAACAAGAAAUAAGAAGUGUGGGACAUGGAAGGCGGUAUUUUGGUAAGCUGUGGUGGUAUUUACGUAUCCCGGGGUAGAACUCUCUAAUGUGGGAAGUAGGAGUUCCCAGUUAUCGUGAAAUAUCAACAACAACAGAGACUUCAAUGGUGGGAACACACGUCCAACCUAGAGGUUCAUCCCUGGUAGCGAGCGAGCUAACUGCUAACAAGCCGGAUAAGCAGUUUUCUAAAAAAUGAUGAGGACAAUGAACCCCACUGUUCAUAAGCCCCAUCCUGAUCAAGAACCUCGUGUUCAUCCAUGCAGACCAGGGGAUGCUGGUGUCUUCCAUGGUGACAAUGACCUGGCUGGUGGUGAUAGUAUAACUAUUCCUGGCCCUCUGAUGAGCAAUAAAAUGCAGAUUGACGACCUGGUUUAUUUCAUCCAGAGGAAAUCUCAGGAGUGUGUACAACAUGUGGAUGAACCUGAGCAAAAGGAGGCCUAUUUCUUCUGGCAGAUUAUGGAGUUGCUCUGCAUCAGAAAUGGUGUAAGUGUUGUAGUUCAUUAUGUGCUGAUUGUUUAAGCCAAAUUAUGAAUGAUAAAUGUAUCAAGAGAUUUUUAUGCAAGAAAGUAAACAUCCUCUGAAUUGUAAGUGCAUGAAUGAAUAAAUAUACCUACAAUAAAUUAAACUUAAAGGCGUUUCUUUUACUGGAUGUAAUGCUGGCUGAAGUCGCUACGCUCCUCUUCAAGGGCUAUGGUUUUCUGAAGGAAGGUAUCAAAAACUUGGUAUGGUUAAGAACCAGGAUGGUUGGUGUCUUCCUCUGGCACAACUUUUAUGCUCCGCUAAACCACAACAUGAGAACUUAAACGCUGUGGUUAAAAUGGGAGAAAAGCUUGACUCUGAAGAACUAACCUAUGAAGCACAUAUCUGCUACGUGGUGGCAAUGGAGGAGCUACAAACAUGUCAGGGAUCCAGCUUUGAUCUGAUUGGAUGUGACAGGUAUUUUGUGUGUGUGCAUGCGCGUGUGUAUUUUUCUCUUUGUACCAGUUUGCCAGUCAGUCAUUCAGCCAUGAGGGAAGCUAUCGAGAGAACUGAGGUAUAGGAAUAUGUAUGCUCUCUGACAUCAGGGCUCGCCCAACCUAACUUCCAGGUUGAAAUUUCUCUUCUUCUCUUCUUUUAAUGCAAACUGAUCCCCAAAUUUAAGUGUGAACCAUUGUACUAAGAAUAAAUGACUCUGUCUGCCUUAGACAAGUGCUAUCAUGCCAGCAGGCUAGCCAGGUCUGGACUUGUUGAUCAAGCCCUUGAUUACUGUGAGGCCGUCGCUAGAACAAUUGCCACCUUUACUCGCAAAAUCACAAAGACCACAAUGGAACGGACUAUUGGGGUGAAUACCGUCAUCGUAACUUGCGCUUAGCUCCUGGUCUGUCUGGAGGUUGCCGUGAUCUGAUAUGGUGGUGUCUGGAACAAGACCCUCACUCUCGGCCAAACUUCGAGGAAAUCCUCAGCCACAAGUGGUUUACGGGACUUCAGAGCAAAGUCAAGGUUAUGCAGCAAGAAGAGAAUAGACCUAAUUUUAAUGAGCAUAGAAUAGUCUAGAUUGCAUGGAUUGUACUGGAUCAGAAUUGAGUUCUGUAACAAGGACUGCUCUGCAUUUGUAAUUAGGGGGCCAAACAACAAAAUGCAUAGGCACACUAUAGUGAUUGUAUGUUUUCUCAUAUUUAUUUGGGGGCCAAGCACCAAAUGUGUGUAGGCAUCCUUUAGUGAUUGUAUGUUUUCUUAUUAGGGGGGCAGGCACUAUAACGUCACUUGGGAUAUAGAGGGUCCUGCCACUCCACCAUCAACAAACCUGAGAAAAGGCAUCAAAACUUCCCAGUUUACCAAAACACUCUAUGCCUAUGGACCCCCAUGAAGUUCUGGGUCAAUGACAUGACAUGCAUAUUUUUGUGUCCGAGUACAUCAUUUCCAUUUAAAAUAAUUUUAUAAAUUCAUGACAUGUAUCACUUUAUUCUAUAAAACCUAUUUAGUUUGAAUGCAUUUUCAAUACAUUUAAAUAAUAUAUAUUAUUUUAUGUUUUGGUAUCUCAAACCCCCAAAAUGUCAGGCGGUGCAACUGUCCGCACAAAUGAACAGCCUAAGAAAACUAUUAAAAAGGUGUUUAAUGAUUAAUACAUUCUAAAUAAAAUACUGUGGCAUGAUUUUAUGUUUGAACUCUUUCAAAUAAACUAAUUUCACAAACAAUAGUAGUGUCCAGCAAUUUGUUCUCAAAUGUCAGGGUGGCACAACCACAAACAUGGUGGAAUGAUGGUAUGAAGUGAAGCUAUGAAGAUGAUGUUAUGAAGUGAAGCUGUAAUAACAGUCAGCAUGAUAUUGCAUCAUCCAAAGGACCCCCAGGUGAUCUUUGUGGUGAAUGAAAAGAUUUGUACAUCUCUCUCAAAUACUGAUUAAAAAAAUAGCUACUUUCAUACAUUUUAUACUAAAAAUGAAAUGGGAUAUUAACCCUUAGUGCUAAACUAACAUUUCAAAAUGUUUUGAAAUAUUUGGUUCUUUUCAACCACAACUGAUUACAGUGUAUCUAACCAAUCUAUUGCACUUUAGUCUAUUCGAGCCAUUACAAUUUGGACUUGUCAAAGUCAAAGCUUAGAUCCUUAUGCUUGCCCAUUUUUCCGGCUUUAAACACAUCAUCUUCGAGAACUGACUGUUCACUUGCUGCCUAAUAUAUCCCACCCUGUGACAGGUGCCACUGUAAGAAGAUAAUCAAUGCUAUUCACUUCACUUGCCAGUGUUUUUAAUGUUAUGGCUGAUCUGUGUAUGUUUCUAUGUAUGUACAGUCCCCUUAGAAACUAUUGGAACAAGAAGGCCAAUUAAUUUGUUUGUACUAUACACCAAAGAUAUUUGGGUUUGAGAUCAAAAGAUGUAUAGGAGACGAGAGUUUCAGAUUUCAGCUUUUAUUUCCUGUUAUUUACAUCUAGAUGAGUUAAACAACAUAGAACCUUUUGUAUCAGACCACCCAAUUUUUAGGCAAGCAAAAGUACAGGAACAGAUAAAAUGUUGGAUUUCUUUUUACCCCUCCAAAUAUCCAGCAAGACACAUCAUUAAUUCAUUAAAGACUUGAACUCCAGUGUGAACAUUUUGUGAAUUUUUUUGCAUCACCUACUCUGUCAUCUGAGAGGAAGAUAUAACCGAGUAAAUUAAGUCUGUGCAUGUGCUGCUUACAUAUUUCAUAAGAUUAAUAAUUACUGAAUUUGGUUUUUGAUGCUGUUACUGUACUGAAAAGAUUCACUGACUCAGCUAUAUUCAGAUUUACAGGUUUAUUUGUUUAUU
This is an RNA transcript of Ictalurus furcatus (blue catfish), 3710 nucleotides long. RefSeq lists it as uncharacterized. Lineage: Eukaryota; Metazoa; Chordata; Actinopteri; Siluriformes; Ictaluridae. The transcript has 8 exons. The record is from RefSeq and is a predicted model, not a curated record.